CAAUAGCGUAUAUUAAAGUUGUUGCGGUUAAAAAGCUCGUAGUUGGAUCUCGGCAGGCAGGGGGUGGUUCGCUCUUAGCGCUACUGCCCCAUUUGCCUGUGUGAUUGGCGGAGGUUUCGGGGUGCUCUUCGUUGAGUGACCCGGGGCGCCGUCAGGUUUACUUUGAAAAAAUUAGAGUGCUCAAAGCAGGCUUUUCACGCUUGAAUAUUCGUGCAUGGAAUAAUGGAAUAGGAACUCGUUUCUAUUUUGUUGGUUUUCGGAAAUCGAGUUAAUGAUUAAUAGGGACAAUUGGGGGCAUUAGUAUUCAGACGACAGAGGUGAAAUUCUUGGACCGUCUGAAGACUAACCACUGCGAAAGCAUUUGCCAAGAGUGUUUUCAUUAA
RNAcentral lists this ribosomal RNA (383 nucleotides) under uncultured eukaryote. Its description in RNAcentral is "partial 18S ribosomal RNA". It matches the Rfam family "Eukaryotic small subunit ribosomal RNA", at positions 592 to 976 of the family's 1831-position model. The record is from RNAcentral.